RNAcentral lists this ribosomal RNA (248 nucleotides) under uncultured Lachnospiraceae bacterium. RNAcentral's name for it is "partial 16S ribosomal RNA". It matches the Rfam family "Bacterial small subunit ribosomal RNA", at positions 524 to 771 of the family's 1533-position model. The record is from RNAcentral. Lineage: Bacteria; Bacillati; Bacillota; Clostridia; Lachnospirales; Lachnospiraceae.
UACGUAGGGGGCAAGCGUUAUCCGGAUUUACUGGGUGUAAAGGGAGCGUAGACGGCAAGGCAAGUCUGGAGUGAAAGCCCGGGGCCCAACCCCGGGACUGCUCUGGAAACUGUGUAACUGGAGUGCAGGAGAGGUAAGUGGAAUUCCUAGUGUAGCGGUGAAAUGCGUAGAUAUUAGGAGGAACACCAGCGGCGAAGGCGGCCCACUGGACUGCGACUGACGUUGAGGCUCGAAGGCGUGGGGAGCAA